AGAACGAACGCUGGCGGCAUGCCUAACACAUGCAAGUCGAACGAGACCUUCGGGUCUAGUGGCGCACGGGUGCGUAACGCGUGGGAAUCUGCCCUUGGGUUCGGAAUAACAGUUAGAAAUGACUGCUAAUACCGGAUGAUGACGAAAGUCCAAAGAUUUAUCGCCCAGGGAUGAGCCCGCGUAGGAUUAGCUAGUUGGUGAGGUAAAGGCUCGCCAAGGCGACGAUCCUUAGCUGGUCUGAGAGGAUGAUCAGCCACACUGGGACUGAGACACGGCCCAGACUCCUACGGGAGCAGCAGUGGGAAUAGUGGACAAGUGGGACGAAAGCCUGAUCCAGCAAUGCCGCGUGAGUGAUGGAGGCCUUAGGGUGUAAAGCUCUUUACCGGAUGAUAAUGACAGUACCGGAGAAUAAGCUCCGGACUAACGUCCGUAGCCAGCAGCCGUAC
RNAcentral lists this ribosomal RNA (446 nucleotides) under uncultured soil bacterium. RNAcentral describes it as "bacterial SSU rRNA". It matches the Rfam family "Bacterial small subunit ribosomal RNA", at positions 26 to 520 of the family's 1533-position model. The record is from RNAcentral.